AGAAAGUCCCCUUCGGGGGAUAAGUAAAGUGGCGUCCGGGUGAGUAACACGUAGGUAAUCUACCUUCGGGUGGGGAAUAACCCAGGGAAACUUGGGCUAACACCGCAUAAUGCAGCGGCACCACAUGGUGACAGUUGUUAAAGCGGGGGAUUUUAGGACCUCGCGCCUGAAGAGGAGCCUGCGGCGGAUUAGCUAGUUGGUAAGGUAACGGCUUACCAAGGCGACGAUCCGUAGCCGGCCUGAGAGGGCGGUCGGCCACACUGACACUGACAUACGGGUCAGACUCCUACGGGAGGCAGCAGUCGGGAAUUUUGGGCAAUGGGCGAAAGCCUGACCCAGCAACGCCGCGUGAAGGAUGAAAUCCUUCGGGAUGUAAACUUCGCAAGAAUGGGAAGAAUUAGCGAGCGCUAAUACCGCUCGUGAUGACGGUACCAUUUGUAAGCUCCGGCUAACUCCGUGCCAGCAGCCGCGGUAAUACGGGGGGAGCAAGCGUUGUUCGGAUUUACUGGGCGUAAAGGGCGCGUAGGCGGUCAGCACAAGUCAGUUGUGAAAUCUCCGGGCUUAACUCGGAAAGGUCAACUGAUACUGUGCGACUAGAGUGCGGAAGGGGCAACUGGAAUUCUCGGUGUAGCGGUGAAAUGCGUAGAUAUCGAGAGGAACACCUGCGGCGAAGGCGGGUUGCUGGGCCGACACUGACGCUGAGGCGCGAAAGCCAGGGGAGCGAACGGGAUUAGAUACCCCGGUAGUCCUGGCCUUAAACGAUGGAUGCUUGGUGUCUGGGGUUUUAUAGUCCCCGGGUGCCGUANCUAACGCGUUAAGCAUCCCGCCUGGGGAGUAC
This 838-nucleotide ribosomal RNA is filed under the name uncultured Bacteroidota bacterium. RNAcentral describes it as "bacterial SSU rRNA". It matches the Rfam family "Bacterial small subunit ribosomal RNA", at positions 68 to 883 of the family's 1533-position model. Lineage: Bacteria; Pseudomonadati; Bacteroidota. The record is from RNAcentral.